UCAAAAAUUGAGAUAAAGAUUUUGGAAAACAUAGAUACAUGUACAUCAUCGCUUAGCACUUUGAGAAAGAGAUAAUAAUAGAAUCAUAUUUACCCCAAACUAAUUCAUGGGUGAUUGAUGAAAACAUCAACCAUUGUUUCAUUUCAUAAAGCAACACUGGGUGAGCACUAAAUAGACGGAACCAAAUGAUGUGAGGUUCAUGAUGGGUUCAUCGUUUCCAUUCAGUUUACACACCAUACGAAGAGGAAAAAGAAGUUAUUAAAAAAGUACAAGCGAUGCCGUCAGUUGGAUAUAAAGAAACGAGAGCUAGUACGUAUUACCACACCACCACAAUUUAACCCGAUUAGGCAAACAUCAAGAGUCCUGCAAAGACCGAAUCAAUCGGUACAUGUCUCGCUGAAAAACUUUAUAGUUGAAUGUUGUCUCCAUUUCUUGUGAUAUGAGUUUCAAGUUUUGAUCUUUUUUAAAAUCGUCAUCAAUCAUUUCAUCAUUUCAUCUUUUUGUUUGUUUGUUUUUUUAAUUUUUAAACAAUAUCGAACUUUAAUUACUGGAGUUCAGCCGACUGGAGAUGUAAAAGUCUUUAUCGUUUUUUGUUGACAAUCAUACUCGAAAAAAAAGAAAUCAAAUCAGAAUUGAACACGAAGUAUGACCCGAAUUGCUCUAGUACACGUGAUGUCGUCAUGGCAAGAAAUUUUGGUGAUGUGGGUCUACUAAUCCAAUAAUAGCGACUUCCUUACUUAUUAAGAGACUUGAAGGCAGUUCAAAAUACCUGUGUCUGCUCACAUAUGCAGCUUCCGGAAUCUGUUUUCAUCCUACAUAUUCUUACCCUUCUACUACUCAUUCACUUUAUGUUUACCCUAGCAAAAUGAAGUAACAUUGUUUAAAAAGAAUUGGUCGAUAGCAUCAAGACUAUCAAGCUUAAAUACAUUCAGUAACGAAAUUAGUCAUAUAAAGUCUUUCGUAAUACACAAAUUUUUUAGCGCACACGUUAUUACUGCUUAAAGCUCGUUUCUCUUCAUCCAUUUUACACAGGUAGUGUGAUCACGAAGAAUUACUAAUAAAACAUUGAGGCGUUAUGAGAUCUAUGUCGCUUCGCAAAACUGUAUCUUAGUACGACAUAAAGUUGCUUUUGGACUUGAACGUUGACUAAAUAAAUGUGUUGCCUGAUUGUACAUGAUAUAUUAUCAGCUUUGUCAAGGGAAAAACCGAGACCGAAGAAAGUUAAAACUGAGAGAAAUUCUAGAUAUGCUACUAUAAGUGCUCUUUGUCAUGAGAGAAACAUGAUUCUACGUGUCUGAUUCACGCAAAGGAUGCAUCAAUAUACCUUCUUUUAAUUACAGGAUGAUGCAUUUUUAAUUUGUUAUUGUUGUGAAUUCUAUGUCAACUGUUUGCUAAUAUAGGCGGCGCAGAGAUAUGAAAACCAAACCGUGACAAUACACCUAAGCUAAAAGGUCAACGCACGCCUAAACUAGCAGCUCAACUCAUGAUUGGACUAAUAAUUUAAAACUAAAACUAAAACCUAAACCUAUUUUACAAAUAAAACUCAUAAUUAGGCUAACAACCCUACCCAUCAACUAACGACUUGACGGUAUGCUAUUCCUUCUUUUUUUUAAAGCUUCACUACCAUCGAAAUAUAUAUAACAGUAGUAAAAUUGUAAACUUUUAUUUUUAUACCAUAGUAGUAUGGCUAUGAUUGGAAGGUUGUAGUGUCAGUCAAGUUGGAAAAACUGUUGGCACUUUUUUUCUGAAUCAAUGGAAUUCUUAUCAAACACAUGCAAACGUAUAAAGAAGACUUGAAUAGAUAAUCUUUGAAUUCAAACAAAUCCUAGUCAACUGAACAACGCAUCUACCUCAGCAGUCCUUGGGAAAUGUAUAAAUAGGCAAGCAUUAAACUUUUAUAUAUAAAACCAUCAAGAUCUCUAUUUUUAACUCGGUGGUUUCUUUCACAAGACUUACUUCAAGAACGACAACACAUCCUGACAGUUAAUUCAUUAAUACUAAUACUAUCGAGGAUUCUGUCAUCCAAGUGGAAUGAACAUGGGCAUCAAAGGAAUGUUUCCUCAAAGUGAGAACUAUAGUGUUGCAAGCGAAUACUUGGUCGCUUAGAACAAAACGAAUUACUGUCAUUAGGAUAUGCUCAAAAGUGUGGCGCUAUAUCUUGUAUCUAUUGCUACGUUCAUUCAUUGAUCCAACAGCAUGGGUAUAGAAAGAAGACGAUAAGCAGGAGUUGCGCAAACGAAGUUAUGGAGUUUCUUGCAUGCAUGCAUGUUUUGGCAUAAAGCUGGUACUUCGAAAUAUGCCUAUGAAAUCUCUACCUGCUUUGCACCCUAAAUAUAACGUGUCGUCUUGUAGCUGCAUGUGAAUUACAACGAUUGAUAGAUGAAAAACAAAUCGACUUGUUGCCCAUUUCAUCGUUUCAAACGACUGGUAGUGUUGCUUGUGUCCAUAUCCAUGCUGUGUCCAUAUCCAUACUAUGUCCAUGUGUUUUGCUUUAUUACACUUGGUCAAAGAAAUCUAUAUGAUGUUCUUUACGAAACCCACAAAGUCAUUAGGGAUAUCAUUCGAACAGAAGGGUAUGUAUGCAAAAUACACUACAAGGACUAAGCCCAAGCACCGUAUUGUUUCAGUCUCGAAGUAAUUCUAUGUACCCGUGCAUUGGAGAUGCGUUUAAUUAACAUGGUGCGAUUGGACUUGAGUGAGCUGACAGCACUGUAUGAGGGUCUGUUUGCCAAGAUUCAGGACUUGUUGAAAGAGUUAUUACAACUACAACUAUAACUAUAACUACAACUAUAACUACAACGAUAAGAACUAUCACUACUCUGAAGACAACGAUGUGUUUUCUCAAGAUGAUAACGGAUCUAGCUUCGCCAUCAAUAAGUAUGAGACAAAGGAGUCCAUCUUUGAUGAAACAUCCAUUUUCCUGUUGUACAUUUUUGCAGGACAACUAGCCUGAGCACAAGAGACAUGGUGUACUAGACCUUGUGCGGAAUGUCUACUUCAAAACUUGCAUCUUUAUAUCUGAUAUAUAGAGAUAUAGAGAUAUAGAGAUAUAGAGAGAGGCUGAUGAUUUAUAAACACAAACGAUAAGACUUGUAACAUGAAGUUUAUCGAAAAAGUCAAUCUUUAAAUUCCUUUCUGAACCUCUCUGUUAUGUCAGUGCUUCGGUACCAUGCUUUUAGUGCGGUCAUUUAAAGGCAUAGCGAUGAUAGUUCUAAAGUUACUGUAUUGAUCAAUUGGAAGAACAUCCAAAUAAAAAAAAGCAUGCAAAAUGCUAGUAUUAUCAGUAACUGCAAAUAAAAAAAGAUAACAAAAAUUUACAGGAUCAUCGAGAAGAGUAGAUACUGAUAAUAUUGAGAUCCACAGCACUCAACAACAGUCUUGGAUUUAUUUAGCCAUUUGCUUAACUUACUGUCUCAACAAUAUUGUUGUUUGGCAUCGCCAUAAAUAUAUGACCUAGAAGUAAAAUUCGUGUUGUCGAAACAAUUCCAAUCGGUUCACUUUUCUCUUUCAAAAGUAUAUCGAAGUAGGAAUGAUGUACUCCCAACUGCGGAUGGAAAAAGUUCUUUAUCGAUUUUAAUAUCUGGUGUUGUGGAAAAAAACGAAAUACGAUCAAAAUUGAGAAAAUUAAGAAAGAAUAUGAAUAUGGUUUUACUUAUUUUACUACCCAUGAUGUCGUUGGUUAAAAACAUGAUGUUAAGGGUGAACCGCAGCAUAUUGGUCGUUUUUAAUUAAGGAAUUGAAUGACUUUCAAAGAUGCACAGUAAUCCUUCCUUAAUCACCAUUUUAGAUUUAUUAAUUUCAACAUACGCUCUCCAUGUACUUGGAAUCGAAUUGAGAACUUGUUAUGCCACAAAUGAAUAUCUUUUUAUUGAGUAACAUCGUUAAUAAAGCAAAUGCUUCACGGUAUUUUUUGAAAUCUUUGACAGUAUUUGUUCAGCUGGGAUGGAUGAUAAUUUGACGAGGCACAUUCCUUAUACGCAAACGAAAGAUACAAUUUCGCUUUGGCAAAACAUUGCAAAUGUUGCAAUUGUCCCAAUUAUAUAUGCAUCAUUAAAUUUGCUUAGCAUUACUUUUUCCUUGGUAGUUACAUUCAGUGCCAAACAACCGCUUUAACCUUUCAUACAAAACUUUUGUGUAUUCACAGAAGCAUCCACUGGGCGGGAAACCAUUUUUCUUGUUUCUGCAUGUAUUCUUAGAAGAGAUUUAAGCUUUCCCUUGAAUUUUCGAAUGUUGAUAAAAACAAAAUAAUAGACUUUGGAAAGGUGAUUCAAUGAAUAAACAUGAAACGUUCACCGUACAUUAAUUAAGCAUCCUUUUCGACCACCCUGACUUGUUCUCUCAUCACAUCUUGAUAACCAUUUACACGAGAGAUUUAAAUGAAGAAGAAUGAAAAAUUCACUUUGACGAGUCUUGGAACCCCUAACUUGGAAAGGCACAGAUCAUGAUUGCUACAAAAGCAUUUGCACUCGGUUUCAGCUAUAGGAAGUGUGAUUGGUCGUACAUGAUGGAUUGACAUUCUCGUCUAUUUGGAUCACAUACAGAAGACAAGCCAAGUCAGAGCAGACAAUACGUAUGCGAUUGAGACAUUAUUUUUGUGAAAUUUAUGAUUCUUCCACAUGUUUGAAUGAUGUAGAAGAUGUACAGGAAACUUUUAAUGAUGAUACGAUAUCGGUUCAAUCACAAUUCAUAAGCGAAACGAAUGCCAAAUACUAAUACUAUAUAUCCAUGAAUCAUUUACCAAUAGUAUUUUUACUGUUCGUGAAUGCUGAGAAAGUUUAUGUCUAAUGUAUUAGCUGUGUCAACCAUUUAUAGUGUGAAGCCACUUUCCACUUGCAACGCUAAGGAUACCUAGACGCACAAAUACAUUAUGCUAGUGGCACGGCCAAAAUUAUUUACUCCAAAGUCUUUAUCCUCUUCGUUUAUAUCGCUAACAAGAAAUCGUAGUCACAAAUGUACAUACGUUGAAACAUUUGAACAACGUACAACAAGCCAAUAAUGACAAGAAUGGAGAUGAAAGUGGUGAUGGUUAGUGGUAGUCGUGGUAGUAAUGGAAGUGGUAAGUGGAAGUGGUGGUGGUGGUGGUAGUGCUUGUGGUAAGUGGAAGUGGUAGUGGUAGUGGUGCUGUGCUGAUGCUGGCGCCGAUACUGGUGAUGAUGUUGAUGCCUAUACUGACACUAGUACUGACACUAGAUGACACUAGUACUGGUACUAAUGGUACCAUUCAACUUGGCAAGUAUAAGACUUAUGUGUGUAAGUGGUAAAAAAUCAAUGAGUAAACUCCACUAAGAAAAUUUCACAACUCCGUUGAUUCUUUUGAGUAUACAAACAUGAACGUUCAAGUUUUACCUUUGUUAAUUCAAUUCUAAUUAUACUGGUUUGUACUUGCUAAGCAUGUCCUGUUCACUUAUCUAAUUCGUUUCAAUUGCGGCAACUCUGGUCCGAUUUAUAAUUCGAAGGACUGAGUUUUUACCCUUUGGAUAAAGUUUUUCAACAUACUUACAAUGAUUAUGGUCUCCACUCCUGACGUAGGUCCAUGUGGUAAUAGAACACAAACUUCAAAAUCUCAUCACUAUAUUAUACUUGGUACAACAUGCAAUACCGAUUGUAUAUACCGAAUACAGUUUCCUAUUGCAAUGAAUGUGAUUUAAUCAUUUUAUGGGAGUUUUUUCAUUCAAAACUGCUUUAAAUCUAAAAACUCUUCUUUAUUCUUGACACUCGUAUAUGUUGUCUGAUAUUCCUAUUCGUGUUUCAAUAACGAAGUUUACUUUCAUUCAAAUAAAUAGAACCAAUCAAGUUUACUAGUGCUUAUUUUUUUCUUUUUUAAUAAAAAGAAUGAAUAUUAGGUGUAUGAUAUGAAUACGUUUUUGUUUGUUUGUUUGCAAAUUAAAAUUAAAAACAACAAAAAAUUAAAGCUACUGAUUUAACUUUGCUUAUUCCAUAACACUUCUUACUCAAUCUCACAUAACCGUUGCAUU
RNAcentral lists this long non-coding RNA (5975 nucleotides) under Schizosaccharomyces pombe (fission yeast). RNAcentral describes it as "centromeric lncRNA". Lineage: Eukaryota; Fungi; Ascomycota; Schizosaccharomycetes; Schizosaccharomycetales; Schizosaccharomycetaceae. The record is from RNAcentral.